Molecule: ribosomal RNA, 467 nt
Filed under: uncultured bacterium
Lineage: Bacteria
Description: partial 16S ribosomal RNA
Rfam family: Bacterial small subunit ribosomal RNA
Source: RNAcentral
GACGAACGCUGGCAGCGUGCUUAACACAUGCAAGUCGAACGGAAAGGCCCUGCUUUUGUGGGGUGCUCGAGUGGCGAACGGGUGAGUAACACGUGAGUAACCUGCCCUUGACUUUGGGAUAACUUCAGGAAACUGGGGCUAAUACCGGAUAGGAGCUCCUGCUGCAUGGUGGGGUUGGAAAGUUUCGGCGGUUGGGGAUGGACUCGCGGCUUAUCAGCUUGUUGGUGGGGUAGUGGCUUACCAAGGCUUUGACGGGUAGCCGGCCUGAGAGGGUGACCGGCCACAUUGGGACUGAGAUACGGCCCAGACUCCUACGGGAGGCAGCAGUGGGGAAUAUUGCACAAUGGGCGGAAGCCUGAUGCAGCAACGCCGCGUGCGGGAUGACGGCCUUCGGGUUGUAAACCGCUUUCGCCUGUGACGAAGCGUGAGUGACGGUAAUGGGUAAAGAAGCACCGGCUAACUACGUG